CUUUAAACGAAGCUCCCCCCUCGCCGGGGCAGGGCACAGUGCUGCGUGCUGGACCCUCGUCCUGGGCUUCCCGCUCUAGAGAAGCCUGAGCGUGGCUGGGCAGUGGCUGGAGCUGAGGUGUUACUCUCUGAGUGCUGCCAGCAGCGGUAAGUUUCAGAGCCACAGAAACGCCCUUGCACUGAUACCGAUGAGAGCAGAUGCAGAGCCCUGUAACCACCUUCUGUGUCUCUGCUAGAGGACUGGGAGUGCAGGGGGGACGUGUCUUGUAUUGCCAUUGCUGACUCCACGUCAUCUUCCCUGUGCAGAGGCCUCGGCUCCUGGGUCAGAGGUUCUGUGAAGUUAAUUAAGGAAUUCCUGUAUUCUAAUCCCCACCUCGGAAACACGCCGAGCCUGACUAACAUUUCUGGAGAGGCAAGAUGCAAAACUGGAAGUAAACAGGAUCUCGGUGGAACAAUACAUUUAUCUGAAAGAGUUUGAUUCUUAUCCUCUGAUUGGAACUAUUAUCAAGAUGCUAAAGUGCAUAUUCCUCAGCAAAAAUCCAUAAUUUCCAAAUAUAAGUGUCUGCUGUUAAUGCCAAUAAAUAGAUCCCAUAGCUA
This is a long non-coding RNA of Pyrgilauda ruficollis (rufous-necked snowfinch), 596 nucleotides long. RefSeq lists it as uncharacterized. Lineage: Eukaryota; Metazoa; Chordata; Aves; Passeriformes; Passeridae. The record is from RefSeq and is a predicted model, not a curated record. The transcript is spliced from 2 exons.